Heterocephalus glaber (naked mole-rat) is the source of this 4227-nucleotide long non-coding RNA. The record is from Ensembl. NCBI's taxonomy places the organism in Eukaryota, Metazoa, Chordata, Mammalia, Rodentia, Bathyergidae.
AUCAAACUUGGAUCCUUCUGCUUGCAAGGCAGGCAGCGGAACCACUGAGCUAAAUCCCCGGCCCAUGUAUACCAUUUUAUUAAAAAUACACAAAACUGCCUUGCAGUCCAUGUUUCAUUUGACUGACCAGAUGAAGAAAAAUAUUAGCCACCAAUACAGAGGUUGUAAGUAUAAAAUACUACUUUUAAAAAUAUUGUCCAUAUUAGGAAAAUAAAUUUUAUGAAAAGAUGUGAUCUACCUAUCUGUCUAGCUAUUUUAUUGUGGUGCUAGGGAUUGGACAUAAGGCCUGUGCAUCUAGGCAAGCGCUCUACCAUUGAGCUACUCUGCUUCUUUCAUGUUUUAUGUUCUUUUAUUGUGAAAUAGAGUCUUGCUAAUUUGCCCAGGCUGGCCUUGAAUUUGGAUUUUCCUGACUCAGCCUCCUGAGUAGCUGGUUGGUAUUACAGGCCUACACCACCACGCCCAGCUUGAGACAUGAAGUUUUCUAAAAAGCUUUUUCACAGGAUCAUAUUAACUCCUGGAACAGCUGCCAAUCUUGUGUCAAUAUUUUAAAUACACUUACAACCAUCUUAACUGUUAAAAAAAUUCUCCUUUCCCCCCAAAGGGGUAGCUGAUAUCUCUUUUGAUGCUUUGAUCCUUUUACUCCCCUAUUGGUGAAAUAGCCAAAUAGGCAAUUUUGACAGAGGAAAAAAUAAUUUCUUUGACUAUUAGGAGUAAGAACAAAUCUCAUUUGUCUGAUGGUGAAGACAAAUGUGAAAUAAAUAACAAAAGUAAGAGAGUGUGAGAUACUUAAAAUCCAUAGAUAAUUUUAGCGAAUAUUUGAGUGAUAAAUUCAUUCCAUGCUUAUUUCUAGAGUCCCCCCUCCCACUUUUGAUGGCUUCAGAAACUUUUAAACCUAGAAUUUGGACUUCAGAGUUGUCAGAUCAAGAUUGGUGAAAGCAAGGAAUAAAUACCAGUGGUGGCAAAGCUAUGGCACGUGUGGUAUUUGUUUUUCUUUGAAGAUAAAAGAUGUUAAUGUAUGAGUUGAUUUUUCUAAAAUAAAACCUCAAUAUUCAGGUUUAAUAGCAGUGUUGGCAUUUUGUGAUAAAUAAGUGGGUUUUGGGUUGCAGUUUGAUCACUUGUCUCUAAAAGUUUCCCAUCACUGGCUAGAGAUUAGCUUGAAUGUAUCAAUUAAAUUUAAGUACAGAGAACAAAUACUUUACUUGGUUGGAGAUUAUAAAGUAAAGAUUGUGGCACAAUCCCUGUUGUCAAGUAGUUUUCCCUGAAGUAAUGAGAACCAGAAAUACACAAUAUUAUUGAGACUUGACUUGAGGGGAAAACACUGACAUAAAUAUGUGCUUUAGGCCAGAUUGGAGGAAUCUCUAUUUCCUAGAAUAGCUGAGCCCUGGGUUUGAUUGAAGUAGGGAUGAUGGAAAGAGUGGGGUGAGAAUGCACAGGAGAUGUGUGGGGUGCGGAGUGACAGAUGAGACACUUGUGGAGAGUGAGCAUUCCUAGGUAGAGGAGAGGGUGAGUACAGACUGGGAAACAGAUUUCUCUAAAUCUACUGGCUUUGUGUUUUCAAUCAAAAACUAGGUACUGCGAAUGCUUUUAUUACAGUUGAAUAAUUUGUAGAAUUGAGCAUUAUGUAUUACUUUUUUUGUAUUUUUGGGUUUUUUUGGUACCGGGGAUUGAACUCGGGUCCUUGCGCUUGCACAGCAGGUGGCGCAACCACUGAGCUAAAUCCCCGACCCUAUGUAUUACUUUUUAAACAAUCUUUUCUUUUUUUAACUUAAAAUAAAAAAAUCCCUUAUUCAUAGAUGAUAUUAAAGUUUUAUAUUUUAAGCAUAAUUUUUUUUGGUGUUGUACCAGGGAUUGAACUCAGAACCUCACACACGCUGGACAACCUCUGUAGCACUGAACUACAUCCUCAUGCCUUCAGUUACGACAUUUUGUGUAGCUUAUUAUUUAGUUGUGAUGAUUUCCUAUAGACAGUAUUUUAUGUGUAUUAAUACUGUUUAAAAAUACCUACAAAUCAAAAUGCUGACUCUUUAUUUGUUUUAGAUUGAGAUAUAACUACAGAGUAGUGCGAUGUCAGAAACCAAACUGCCGGAAUUAUUAUAAUUAAUGUGCAGAAGAUAGUCUCUUCAAACAAUUAUCUUGGAAAACUGUGCACUUAUUCCAGUAAUGAGGAUAUUCGUGAAAUGUUUUUGAAACUUCUCACUUGAAUUGUCUUAAUAACCAGUGUUAUUCUUUGCCAGAACCAACACAAACUAUUUCUGUCACUUCACAAUUAAGCUUGGCUCAAAAUAUAUUUUGACUUAUCAUGAAAUGAAAUCGGGCCAGAGAUUUAGCUCAGUGGUUCCACUGCCUGCCUCGCAAGCACAAGGUCCCGAGUUUGAACCCCUGUACCAAAAAAAAGAAAAAUAAAGAAAUCGACUUCCAAAAGAUAGUUGUAUGCUGUUAAAUACAGCAUUAAAAAAAUAUUACAGCAUGGGCCGGGGAUUUAGCUCAGUGGUUUCGCUGCCUGCUGCGCAAUCGCAAGGACCAGAGUUCAAUCCCCCGUACCAAAAAAAAAAAAAAAAAAAAAAAGAUAUACAGCAUAAAACUCAUUGGUAUCAUCCCAAAUUAGUUAUUAAUGAAUACAAGCAUCAGCUAGUGUGACUAUCAAAAUUUGGAACACUUGUUUACGGAAUUACCACAGCAUGUUUGCUUAUUGAAAGAGGACCUUGGGUCUUAAUUGCAUAGUUAAUCGUUUCAGUUCUGGGAGAUAGAAUGUCUACUUUAAAAGCCCAGUGUCAGCCCUUCUGAACUUAGGGGUUUAGAGAGAAAACCACUUCACCUUCUUGAAACAGUUCCCUCCUCUCCAAAUUGGGAAUAAUAGGUAUUUUUCUUGUAUGUUCUUGUGAAGACUAAUGACUUACUGCCUGUUAGGUGCUUAGGAUGGUGUCUUGCACAUGGAAAAUGUAGUGUUGACAGUAACUGAGGUGAUACUGAUUACUCAUUGUAUUUUCCUUCAUGAGCAAAUUUCAUAGCAAAUAACUUUUUCCCCCACAUUUUCUUUGAACAUAGUUUUGACAGAAACUGUUUCUAGGAAAUAUCAUUAUAUGACUUAAUUUGUCAUUUCUUUGAUUAAUUGUUUAGAGUCUUACACUUCUGUAAUAAAUACUGAUUGGUUAGAUAUUUGUAUAGUUCAGAUUUCAGGUGGCAUCAGGAAGUGUCUGAUAAGUGAGUUGUUGAUUGGUUUUAGGUUAGCACAUUUGUAGCACAGUUUUCUCUCAGGGUUUUAAAGUGUUUCUAUGUUCUUAAACAUGAAUUUUAUGAAUGGUUUUAUAAACUAGUAUACUUUGAUUCUUAUAUUUUAUUUCAUAAUACUUAGUGGUUACAUAAAACAUGAGUUUCAUGGAAAGAUAUAUUAACUGCACACCAAUUGUGGUUUAAAGAUGUGCAUUUAUAUACAGCAUAGAGCUUGUCCUUUUCACAAGGCAUGACGCUCAGUAUUACCAGAGGAUAGCUGUGUGAACAUGUUCAUUGUCUGACUGGGCAGCAGGUGUGACUGCUGUGCACAGAUGUGAUAGAUACUCCAGGUAAACGAGUGAUACAAUGUUGUUUGUGGAUCAGCUGCUGAUACUGUAGAAUAUGUGUGUAGUAGCCCUCCUGCCUUGUUCUUCUGCUGCAUCCAAAGAGGUAAAGACUUUAUUGUGUGCAUUGGUUUUUCCCUUCAGGUAAUUGAUUCAAUCUUUGUUUCUCAUUUUGUAGUGAAAUGGCACUUGAUUUUAAUCCAGUAGUUGUACAGUUCUCCAGGGAAUACCCGUGGACUAUUUUAGGUGAAAUUCUCUCCAUGUGCCUCAAGUCAUGAGGGUUCUAGCUUGUUUGCUUGUAUUUUUUGAGUGAACUGAUUAAAUACUUUAGAUUCCUCAGGUUAUGCUACUGAAAAGCAAGCUCCUGAAUAGUGACCAGCAGUGAGAUUUAAAAAUUUUUUUUGUUUUGGGCCGGGGAUUUAUGUCUGUGGUUCUGCUGCCUGCCUCGUAAGCACAAAGACCCGAGUUCGAUUCUUGGUACCUCAAGAAAAAAUUUUUUUUUUGUUUUAAAUUAUGCCUGAGCUUUUCUAUUUUUGUUCAGUGUCGCAGAGUAAUUAUGUGUGAUUCUUUGUACCUUUUCAUGCCAGUCACUUCUAUCUCAUGCUUAGUGUUGCUAUAAUUUUCAUUUUAGAAGAAAUUGAUUAUGUGUGUGAUUCCUGUGUGUGUGUGGGUG